ACUAUGUUGCAAGUGCAAAACCACGGACCCCACCUUUCAGGACUGCAAUAUUGUGAAGAUUUGCCAAAAUGGAGAGAUGUGUCUACAUAAAAAGAGAUCAAGUAACGAGUCAACUGAAUACAUAAUGGGCUGCGCCACCCCGCAGGUAAUAAGGAGGUUGUUUAGGGACGAACAUACAUGCUGGGCUUUUAUUCGUGUUCAACCCAUACAGGCCUGUAAUGGUCAAGUGCUUAUUGUGGGACGGAGAGCACGCUGUUUAAAACAAUAUGUUUACGGGCGCGACACAACUAUUGACUGCUGCACAACACACUUUUGUAAUCUACCAUCCUCGACAAGUACCAUGUCUUCUACUACAAUAACCACAACCUUAGCCUAAACAACUACGCGCACAUAUUAACCAGCUUGCGACGUCACCAAUGGUUACAAACAACUCUAUGACAACGAAGGCGGUACCACACUAUGCGUUAAGGUUCACAAAACAAAUUUGAAAGCAUGGGACGCUGCAAGAGCACAAUGUCGCCAUGAAACGACCUGGUCGUUUUAGAUUCAUUGCAGAAACUUCAACUGUUACAAACCGAGCUGACAAGAAUGGGACUAGGAGAUGGAGCCAUUCUUUGGAUAGGUGCCCAAGAUGUGCUGCAACCUCUUCACUUCAUCUGGACAAAUGGACAUCCGGUUGAUAUGUCCAAUGGCUGGGCACAUGGUGAGCCGUCGGGUAACCAGCACUGCGUCUCGAUAAACCACGUGAGCGGCUAUAAGCUACACAGCAACAAUUGUGGGCAUCUUAACAAAUUCAUAUGCCAACGUGUGA
This is a long non-coding RNA of Dreissena polymorpha, 811 nucleotides long. RefSeq lists it as uncharacterized. Lineage: Eukaryota; Metazoa; Mollusca; Bivalvia; Myida; Dreissenidae. The transcript has 5 exons. The record is from RefSeq and is a predicted model, not a curated record.